Molecule: ribosomal RNA, 253 nt
Filed under: uncultured bacterium
Lineage: Bacteria
Description: partial 16S ribosomal RNA
Rfam family: Bacterial small subunit ribosomal RNA
Source: RNAcentral
UACGUAGGGUCCGAGCGUUGUCCGGAAUUACUGGGCGUAAAGAGCUCGUAGGUGGUUUGUCGCGUUGUUCGUGAAAACUCACAGCUCAACUGUGGGCGUGCGGGCGAUACGGGCAGACUAGAGUACUGCAGGGGAGACUGGAAUUCCUGGUGUAGCGGUGAAAUGCGCAGAUAUCAGGAGGAACACCGGUGGCGAAGGCGGGUCUCUGGGCCGAUACUGACGCUGAGGAGCGAAAGCGUGGGGAGCAAACAGG